CCUACGGGAGGCAGCAGUGAGGAAUAUUGGUCAAUGGGCGAGAGCCUGAACCAGCCAAGUCGCGUGAGGGAAGACGGUCCUAUGGAUUGUAAACCUCUUUUGUCGGGGAGCAAAAAGGCCUCGUGAGGCCAUAAGUGAGAGUACCCGAAGAAAAAGCAUCGGCUAACUCCGUGCCAGCAGACGCGGUAAUACGGAGGAUGCGAGCGUUAUCCGGAUUUAUUGGGUUUAAAGGGUGCGUAGGCGGAGUGGAAAGUCAGCGGGAAAAUCGAGAGGCUCAACCUCCUUCCGCCGUUGAAACUGUCGGUCUUGAGUGGGCGAGAGGUAUGCGGAAUGCGUGGUGUAGCGGUGAAAUGCAUAGAUAUCACGCAGAACUCCGAUUGCGAAGGCAGCAUACCGGCGCCCGACUGACGCUGAGGCACGAAAGCGUGGGUAUCGAACAGGAUUAGAUACCCUUGUAGUC
Molecule: ribosomal RNA, 460 nt
Filed under: uncultured bacterium
Lineage: Bacteria
Description: partial 16S ribosomal RNA
Rfam family: Bacterial small subunit ribosomal RNA
Source: RNAcentral